GUGCUUAACACAUGCAAGUCGAGUGCGCGUGCCGUAGCAAUACGGUAUGGCGCACGGCGCACGGGUGCGUAACACGUGGGCAAUCUGCCCUCCGGUGGGGAAUAACUCCGCGAAAGCGGGGCUAAUUCCGCAUAACAUUCUCUGGACCCUGGUUCGGGGAUUCAAAGCAGCAAUGCGCCGGAGGAGGAGCCCGCGCCCGAUUAGCUAGUUGGUGAGGUAACGGCUCACCAAGGCAAUGAUCGGUAGCUGGUCUGAGAGGAUGGCCAGCCACACUGGAACUGAGACACGGUCCAG
Molecule: ribosomal RNA, 294 nt
Filed under: uncultured bacterium
Lineage: Bacteria
Description: partial 16S ribosomal RNA
Rfam family: Bacterial small subunit ribosomal RNA
Source: RNAcentral